UNUGACUUGAGUGCAGAAGGGGAGAGUGGAAUUCCAUGUGUAGCGGUGAAAUGCGUAGAUAUAUGGAGGANCACCAGUGGCGAAAGCGGCUCUCUGNUCUGUCACUGACGCUGAGGCUCGAAAGCGUGGGUAGCGAACAGGAUUAGAUACCCUGGUAGUNCACGCCGUAAACGAUGAGUGCUAGGUGUUAGGCCCNUUCCGGGGCUUAGUGCCGGAGCUAACGCAAUAAGCACUCCGCCUGGGGAGUACGACCGCAAGGUUGAAACUCAAAGGAAUUGACGGGGGCCCGCACAAGCGGUGGAGCAUGUGGUUUAAUUCGAAGCAACGCGAAGAACCUUACCAGGUCUUGACAUCCCGAUGCUAUUCUUAGAGAUAGGAAGUUACUUCGGUACAUCGGAGACAGGUGGUGCAUGGUUGUCGUCAGCUCGUGUCGUGAGAUGUUGGGUUAAGUCCCGCAACGAGCGCAACCCUUAUUGUUAGUUGCCAUCAUUAAGUUGGGCACUCUAGCGAGACUGCCGGUAAUAAACCGGAGGAAGGUGGGGAUGACGUCAAAUCAUCAUGCCCCUUAUGACCUGGGCUACACACGUGCUACAAUGGUCGGUACAACGAGUUGCGAGCCGGUGACGGCAAGCUAAUCUCUGAAAGCCGAUCUCAGUUCGGAUUGGAGGCUGCAACUCGCCUCCAUGAAGUCGGAAUCGCUAGUAAUCGCGGAUCAGCACGCCGCGGUGAAUACGUUCCCGGGCCUUGUACACACC
RNAcentral lists this ribosomal RNA (755 nucleotides) under uncultured bacterium. RNAcentral describes it as "bacterial SSU rRNA". It matches the Rfam family "Bacterial small subunit ribosomal RNA", at positions 636 to 1391 of the family's 1533-position model. The record is from RNAcentral.